AUGAGCUGGGCUCUUCUCCUCCUUUGCCUCCUCAGUCAGGGCACAGGGAUCUGGGCCCAGUCAGCCCUGUCUCAACCUCCCUCAAUGUCUGGGACACCGGGACAGACAGUGUCCAUCACCUGUCAAGGAACCAGCAAUGACAUUGGAGGAUAUAGUUAUGUUUCCUGGUACCAGCAGCAGGAGCACACAGCCCCCAAACUGCUGAUUUAUUAUGUCAACCGUCGGCCCUCAGGGAUCCCCGAUCGAUUCUCAGGCUCCAAGGCUGGCAACACAGCAUCCCUGACCAUCUCUGGGGUCAUGCCUGAGGACGAGGCUGAUUAUUAUUGUGCCUCAUAUACGAUCAGCCCUGUCUCAGGCUCCCUCAAUGUCUGGGACACCGGGACAGACAGUCUCCAUCACCUGUCAAGGAACCAGCAAUGACAUUGGGAGAUAUGA
Molecule: non-coding RNA, 435 nt
Organism: Suncus etruscus (white-toothed pygmy shrew)
Lineage: Eukaryota; Metazoa; Chordata; Mammalia; Eulipotyphla; Soricidae
Source: the annotation of a RefSeq genome assembly